CAGCACAUGUCAGACCUUAACCAUUGAUAGGACGUUCAGGACCAGCAUCUGAAUCAUGUAAACCCUAAUGACAUGUCAUUUGUAUCUUAUGAAUUCCUAAGGUUCAAACGGGGCUCGGUAAUAGUCGUAUGUCGUUAGAUAUGCAACCAAUAUAUACAUAUAGCAAUUCACAUAACAAGUAUAUUUCAAUCAGAAACAUAUAUACACAAUUUAAUUCCACG
Molecule: long non-coding RNA, 221 nt
Filed under: Gossypium barbadense (sea-island cotton)
Lineage: Eukaryota; Viridiplantae; Streptophyta; Magnoliopsida; Malvales; Malvaceae
Description: long non-coding RNA (GBAR_LNC022363)
Source: RNAcentral